This 927-nucleotide unclassified non-coding RNA is filed under the name Hevea brasiliensis (rubber tree). The record is from RNAcentral. Lineage: Eukaryota; Viridiplantae; Streptophyta; Magnoliopsida; Malpighiales; Euphorbiaceae.
GAAAUACAGAGAAGGCGACGAGCACAAUGGGGAAAGAUCUGAGCAACGAUCAAAUCUCCUCCAUGAAGGAGGCAUUCACUCUCUUCGAUACCGACGGCGACGGCAAAAUCUCACCGUCGGAGCUAGGUAUCCUAAUGCGUUCACUCGGAGGUAACCCGACUCAAGCUCAACUCAAAUCAAUAAUCGCCGAGGAAAAACUCACAUCGCCGUUCGAUUUCAACCGGUUUAUGGAACUCAUGUCGAAACACUUGAAGCCGGAGCCAUUUGAUCGCCAAUUACGCGAUGCGUUCAAGGUACUUGAUAAAGACGGUACUGGUUACGUUGUUGUUUCGGAUCUAAAGCAUAUUUUAACUAGUAUUGGUGAGAAGCUUGAGCCUUCGGAAUUUGAUGAGUGGAUCCGAGAAGUUGAUGCUGGAUCCGAUGGUAAGAUCCGGUAUGAAGAUUUCAUUGCUAGGAUGGUUGCCAAGUGAUUUUUGCAUGAAAUUCGCAUCUUCGGCUAUAUUACUCAAUAGCAAGAAACAGGACCUAACUUUGCCCUCGCUAGUUUUGCCCUCUCAUUUGUAUGUUUAAGUGUAUCUUUCAUUAGCCAUUUUGCUAAUCGUCUAUUUUAUUGUAUUUUCCCCUUGCACUGUCAUGGAACAACUCAUUGUUCAAAUGUUUGGAUUAUAUCCAGGUAUGUGGUAUGCAAUCGCUUCUUGCAAUGUUAAACCAGUUAUGUAUAGUUCAAAUGCCAUGUAUCUUUAACUCAGCGCUUCAAUGUUUCUACUUCUUGUAGUGGAAUAUCUUUGUUCAUUUAUUAAACCAAAACUUCAGCAGUGAUGAUUUUGUGUGUAUUGAUGGAGUAAUCUACUUGUAACAUAAUCAAAAUAGCAGUAAAUGUAUGCUUUGAUAGUAUUAUUUCCGCUAGUGUAUGCUAAUGGGUUGUUU